GAAUGUUUUCAUUGAUUUGGAUAGUGGG
Molecule: non-coding RNA, 28 nt
Filed under: Cricetulus griseus (Chinese hamster)
Lineage: Eukaryota; Metazoa; Chordata; Mammalia; Rodentia; Cricetidae
Source: RNAcentral